AAACCUGCAAAGAGAACGACCCGCGAACACGUUCAAACACUGGGGGGGCCGCGCGGGGGGGGUGUUUGGGCUGCCCCGCGCGUCUCCCCUCCGCCCCGAUGCGGCCUUUGUGCUCGUUUUUGGGGCCAAAACGAACCCCGGCGCGGAAAGGCCAAGGAAUACUAAAUUGAGAGCCCUCCCCCCGCGCCCCGUCCGCGGAGCGGGSGGGGGGGAUGAAAACGACUYUCGGCAACGGAUAUUUUGGCUCUCGCAUCGAUGAAGAACGUAGCGAAAUGCGAUACUUGGUGUGAAUUGCAGAAUCCCGGGAACCAUCGAGUUUUUGAACGCAAGUUGCGCCCGAAGCCAUUAGGCCGAGGGCACGUCUGCCUGGGCGUCACGCAUCGCGUCGCCCCCUGCACGCCGCAGGGCGUCGCGGGGGCGGAUACUGGUCUCCCGUGCSCCUCGAGCCCGCGGCUGGCCUAAAUGCGAGUCCACGUCGAUGGACGUCGCGGCAUGUGGUGGUUGUAACUCAACUCUCUUGUGCCGCGGCCACAACCCGUYGCGUGUGCGGACUCCCCGGACAAUCAAAACGCUAGGCGCUCGACC
RNAcentral lists this unclassified non-coding RNA (585 nucleotides) under Solanum viarum. Its description in RNAcentral is "contains ITS1, 5.8S rRNA and ITS2". The stretch from base 221 to 376 matches the Rfam family "5.8S ribosomal RNA". Lineage: Eukaryota; Viridiplantae; Streptophyta; Magnoliopsida; Solanales; Solanaceae. The record is from RNAcentral.